Long non-coding RNA from Gossypium raimondii (Peruvian cotton), 1021 nucleotides. RefSeq lists it as uncharacterized. The record is from RefSeq and is a predicted model, not a curated record. NCBI's taxonomy places the organism in Eukaryota, Viridiplantae, Streptophyta, Magnoliopsida, Malvales, Malvaceae. The transcript has 3 exons.
AACAACAAAGAUUGGCAACAUGGAAGUCAUCAUCAAAUCCAUGAUGAAGACAAAAGAAGAAAUCCAAGUGCAGACAAAAAGUCUUGCAACGUGGAAGAUUUCAUCAAACCAAUGAUGAUGCAAGCAAUGACAGAAGCUACCAUGACACAAGCAAGUGAUGGAAGCGGUCAUUAAUUCAAGCAUGCAACGUGGAAACAACCAUGACCAUGCAGUUAAAGUGACAAGAAGACAGAUGAGACGUGGAAGCAGCCACAUCCUUUUUAAGCCGAAUCCUUAUCAGAAACACUGUUCAGGAUUCAAAAGACAAUUGUAUAGAAUUUUUAAUCUCCUCUAUAAAUAGAGAGGAAAGAUCAAUUGUAUAGACAUCUUGUAAUUACCUAAUAGUUUUACUUUUUAGUUUUCUCUCUUGUAAAGCCUUUCCUUUUUGUUAAUAAAAGAGUCUAUAUUCCCUUCCGCUCAUACUCAAAUUGUUGCAGGAUUGGCAAGUAGAAGAUAGAAAUAUAGUUUUUGUUGUUGAUCCCACCUUUGGUAAAUAAUUUAACAAGCCGGAAUUACUUCCUAGAGAGUUCACUCUAGUGAUUGAUGUAAGAAAAGACUAGUUCAGGAGAUCAAUGAUAUCGAAAAGGAUACCUGACUUCAAGUUGAAAGUGAGUUGACUCAGUGAAGAACUCGCUAUUGCUAAAGAAUUUGUUCACAGGUGAUGAGUAUGGUUGUCAAUUCCAAUGGUGAUGAAAGUGAUGAUGGAAGGGAAAAGAAAGAUAUUUUACAACGCAUGGAAAAUUUUAAUUGGUUAUUUCAUGUUGCAUAUUCUUCUAUGCAAUUAUAUUAUGAGAAGUAUAUAUUGAAGCAACCAUGCAUGGAUUCGAGAGAUCCUUGACGGUCACAAAUCAUGUUACAUGAUUAAUUUUAGGAUGUCAAAAGUUGUAUUCAGAAGUUUGUUUAGAGUUUUGAAGACAAGAUACAAUUUGCAAACUUCAAGAAACAUAUCUUCUUAUGAAAUGUUGAAAAUUUUUUUGUACAU